Molecule: long non-coding RNA, 601 nt
Organism: Zea mays
Lineage: Eukaryota; Viridiplantae; Streptophyta; Magnoliopsida; Poales; Poaceae
Exons: 2
Source: RefSeq, a predicted model, not a curated record
CACAACUCUCCUUUGCACACAUGCAUACACCCAAGCUUGGCAUGGUACUUGCAAUAAUCGAAGAAAAUGGCGAAGGCAUACACCAUUCUUGUAGCCCUUAGCAUGGUAGCUCUGUUAUCCUGCAAUGAUGUGGAGGGUGAAGCAUACAUGAUGCAUGAAGCGCUUUCUCGCAAAGGUCUAAGGGAAGACAUCAAGCUAGGCACUAAUGGUGCCGUGAAUCCUUCUGCUAUCAGUUUGUCUGGACAGGCAUCUAGCAUCACCACUGGCGUGAACAGCAACACUGAAAGCAGCACAAGCAUUGAGAUCUCAGGCGCUGCUGCAGCCUCUACCUCGAUGACCGCUACUACCGCAGAUACCCACCGUGGGUACCCUAUCACCCGUGACCCAAAACACUAAGAACCAUGAAGAAGCUCGGGUUCAUAUAUCAGGGGCUCAGGGCAACUGAAUCGUCAGUUACCAACGAGUAUCCAUAAAGUGAAUACCGGUACUGUAUUACAAGAUGUAUUCUAUGUGCAUGUCAUAUACUCCUAUGUUAUAUACACAUAUUGGAAUAGGGCAAUAAUAAAGCAUGCAGAUGCCUAUACUGUUAGCCCAGCACAAA